CUCUCACAUGGAAAUGAUGAAUAGUUGCUCUGCCAUGAUUAGUUCUCAAAAUUGAAAUCUCUCACAAGUUUAGGUAUGACUGUUAUGAAUUAAGAUUUGCUCUAAACCUAAACUUGUGGGAAGAGUACUUGAUCUAAAGUCUAAACGGAUAUGAUAUGGGAAGGUUGAGCUGCUGUUUAUCUGUUCCUAGAGAUGCUAGAAUUCUGGAGAAUUUUAUCUUUAAAAAUCUUUAAAAUAUUGCAUGAUGAGUUCCUGUAUAAUGAGAGUUUAAAAUCCUACCACAGCCAUAUAUACAUGCUUAUUAGACUAUGAACCAUACAUUUACUUUUUACUGCUUAUGAGCAUUGAGUGUGGUCAAGCUGUGUAGACCCUUAGGAGCUUGUCAUGCGGUUAAAAUCAAGAUUCACUUGCACGUUCACUCAUACAUGCUGCUUCUACUCCGAUAGUACGCAUCCACAUACAUCCACUCAUUUCCAUAUCCAGAUUCACCUAAAAUUAUUCUAUUCCUAUCCAGGAGAGAAUAGCCAAAAAUAUUAUCCUAUCCCUGUUAUUCCCCAUGAAAUAAAUGCUCGAGAUAUUUUGGUUACUACCACUUGCUACAUUAUUCCAAGAGGGUGAGUGCUCUGAAAAAAAAAGAAAAGUGAAUACGAGGAAAUAAAAAGGGGCAAGUGCCCGGAACCUCGAAAGAAAAGAAAAAGUAAGACGAGAGGUAAAAAUGGACAAGUGUCCGACAGUAGAAUUAGGGGUACAAGAUACCCACCUGAGAGAAAAGAAAAAGAAAAUAUAGAGCAUCUCAUUCCUCUCAAAAACCUUCAAAGUGCAAGAAAGGUAUGUAUCCCCUCAAAAGAGCAAAAGUAGAAUUAGACUUUCACCAUUAUUUUCAACAUUAUCACCAUCAUCACCAUACACCAUUCAUUCGCCACGCAUGCACAUCUUGAUUUGACUUAUUGACUUGUUUCUCUAGAUCCAUGGUUUGACUAUGCAAUAAAUGUCUUGUAAGUAUGUAUUAGCUGUCUCCCACCUAUGAGCCCAGAUAUCAAAACCUUGUUAGAGUAGGGUGAGAGAGAAGGCAAUAAUAUCAUUAUGCCUCAUACCACAAAUACCACAUACUUUGAGAGAAGGCAUAUAUCAUCACUGCCUUGGUAAGGAUCCAGAAAUACCACAAAAGAGAGACUAGAGAGAGUCAUACAAGGAAUCUCUGAGUUUUAUUUGAAAAUCUACAAAAACUCCAGAGCUAUAGUUGAUCAAAGAACAAGAGACAUGGUGCUUCACUUGACCGUUCUAUCUUUUAACUGCUCAAGACACAAUUGACGGUUGCAAGCCCCAUGGUGGAAGGUAAUAUGAGUAAACUUAAAUCUUAAUAGUUUAUCUUAACCUAGACAUGAGAUCUUGUUUGAACGCAUGAGUACCUUUAAGGCAUAAAACCACAGCAAAAACUCUUGAGUCCAUCUUUGCUCAGGGACGAGCAAGAGGUAAGCUUCGGGGAGUUUUUUGACGGUCCUUAAGUAUCAAAUUUAAUCAUCAAAUAAAUAAAGAAAAGGAUCCAAAUGCAACCAACACCUAGACUUAGGGUUUUAUCUAACAGAAUUCCACAAGUUUUGGUGCUUGUCUAUUUCUGUAGGGGGUUAUCAGAAAAUAUGGAGGAAAGGCCCACACGUCGGGUUUACAUAGAGAUAUUAACGUGCCGCGCAAUUUUCUAUCAUCUAGAAGACUCCAGAAGCCACAGGAACGAACGGAAAGCUGAGCGAGCUCGGGGGCAGGGCGCCCGCCCUCCCCCCUUGGGCGCCUGCCUAGCUAUAGAGUCCAAUCAGGACUCAUUUCGCGGAUUACACUCCACCGAUCUAAAGGAUCAAGGAUAACCGUUCAAUCAAUGUCGGUUUGAUCCGACGGCCCAGAUUCACUUGAGGGGACUAUAUAAGCAGACCCCCUGGCCCCUGGAGGAGGCACCCCUUGAUCCCUAUUCAUUAUUCAUAGAUAGAGCAAAAGCUAGGGUUUGGAGAUGAGAGCUCUCCUCUCAUCUCUAAACUAGAGUAGAUCUAGAUAGUAGCGAGAUGGAGAGCGAGGGAGGUUUGGAGGAGAGGCCGGCCUGUCGGUUCUUCCUCCGGUUGUACUUCGCCAUGAUCAAGCUCUAAUCAAGCUUGCUCAUGGGAUGACUCUGGUAAUCUACUUCUAAUUCAUUAUGCAAUUACUAAUCAUGUAUGUUCUGGUUCACAACUCUUUUGAGUACUUUAAUCUUUAGGACGCUAUAGGUCAGAGUUGUAGUAUUGUCGACAAAAGCUAGUCGGCAGUCUACCCAGGGGUAUACCCACGGUAGUAGUUUAUCGGUAGACGGUGCGGAAGCUACGAACUCGACGGAGAUGCAAGACACAGACAAGGUUUUUAUCCAGGUUCGGCCGCCGUGUGGGCGUAAUACCUACGUCCUGCGUCUGAUUGUAUUGGAUUGUGUUGAGAGAAUCUCCUUGGGGGGUCCCUUGCCUCUCCUUAUAUAGUCCGGAGGGCAGGGUUACAGAUCUGGAAACUAAUCCUAGUCGGUUACAAUUGCCAUAGAUAGUUCGAUAUCAUUCCUAUUCUAACCGACUAGAAUCCUGCUUGAUCUCCACAUCUUGUUUCCUUGCGCGAAACUCCGAGCUUGUCGGAUCAAGCCUCGAACUUGUCUCGUAAUGGGCCAAGCCUCCUGGCCCAAGUCUAGCCGUAAGGGUAUAGGGGUUUAUACCCCCACAGCUAGUCCCCGAGCACCAUGUAUUGUGAAGUAACACGCCGUCUUGAGCUUCUUCAACUAGUGAGGUUUGACAUCUUCAAUAAGCAGGAAGGUCGCCCAAACAGUUGCAACGGUAUUUUGACCAACUCAAAAGAUAAUUGACCAACAUUGACAUCGAAGAAGCAGGUUGUUCGAAGAAUGCAUGGUGCUCUUGAGAAAAAAUAUUUCUUUUCUCGAUGAAGUGUGCCCACUUUACUUUUAUAAAAAGUAUGUCCUUAACAAAAAAGGCAAGCAAGUUCACCACAAGGUGAAGUGUGCCCACUUAGUCCCCGAGCAUGGUAGCAGGUGUCGUAGGCACGUGGUGCCAGGGUCAAAAGAAAAGUCCUCAAAGAAAUUCUUAAACUGAGAUGCAUCGCCAGAUGCAUCGUACCGAUGUAGUCCCCGAGCUUGCUGGAAGGCGAAGUAUGAGCCAUGUAGCAAGGUCUAAAAAAUUCAAGUUUUCUAGUCCCCGAGCAUCUCAUGCUCAUUUGCCAUCGGGUAGACUUACCAACCAGUCCCUGAGCGUGUAGUGCUCGGUGGUUGGUGCAGUACCCAGAUUUCCAAACUGGCAGACUGGUCGACCAGUACCCAAGCAUACAGUGCUCGCUGGUCGGUGCAGUCCCUAGAUCUCCAAACUGGCAGACUGGACGACCAGUCCCCAAGCAUACAAUGCACGGUGGUCGGUGCAGUCCCCAGAUCUCCAAACUGGCAGACUGGACGACCAGUCCCCGAGCAUACAGUGCUCGGUGGUCGGUGCAGUCCCUAGAUCUCCAAACCGGCAGACUGGACGACCAGUCCCCGAGCAUACUGUGCUCGGUGGUCGGUGUAGUUCCCAGGAACGUUGAUCCUCUACCAAUUUUCGUCUGUUAUUUUGAAAAACAUCUCAUCACAUAAAUGGGUGAUGUGACGAGACCUCCUGACGCAUUGUCAGAUGGUUGCGUGAAAAGGUGCACCCGGUAACUGCGCAGCCGCUCUUUGCGUGGUUCAAGAAAAGGAAACCAUUAAUUAUGCAAAAAGGCUGCCGUAUUAACUGCUGGUAAUUGUUGGAAGCCGAAACGCCGCAUCUGCCGCUGGGCCCGCCCACUUCCCAAGAAUGCGGGAAGUGGGAGGGGUGGAGUUGUUACUUAUAAAAGCUUGAUGGUGCCCCCGUAUCGUUUACCCUGCCAUUGCCUUCAAGCUUUCCAUUCUUGCCUUCUGCAACCAUCAUCAAUCCCCCAACCUCGUAGUCAUUCCCACAGUGUUAAUGGCGAAAAGCGACUCCAAGAAGAGGGCCGAGCUGAUGGCUAAGGAAUGGAAGAAGUCUCGGAGCAGCGUGAGGUCCCUCAAUGACCUCGUCGGCAUGGGUCUACUACACAGCCAAGAGCUCGGCGGCUGGAGGGUGCCGGAGGGGGAGAGCUACCCCGACCCCCGUGCCGGUGAGAUAGUGGUUUUCGAAGAUUUUUUCAACAGGGGUUUCGGGGUUCCUGUCCAUCCUUUUCUCCAGGGGCUUCUUCUUUACUAUGAGAUCGGGAUCUGCAAUCUGUACCCGAACUCAAUUCUUCUUAUUUCCACUUUUAUCCAUCUGUGCGAGGCCUAUGUUGGGAUAGAGCCGCACUUCGAUCUUUUCCGCUACCUUUUCUGUUUGAGGAAGAAAGGAGCGGUUGGAGGCUCCAAGAUUGCAGGUGGAGUAUACCUCAAUCUUCGUGACGGGAUGAAGAACUGGUAUCUCAGCUACCCAUGGAACACUUCGCUUACCGAGUGGUACAAGAAGUGGUUCUACGUCAGGGAAGAACCGGGCAGCUCCACGUUCUGCGACGUGGGGUACAUUCCCGAGAAGAGGGUCAGUUCGACAGACCGCCCAGCGUUCACCGGUCAGGUAGAAGACCUGAUGAAGCUGAUCGAUUGGUCGUGUUUGGACGGGCUAGGAGUGGUCGGCAACUUCGUUUGUCGUCGGGUGAUGCCCUGCUAGAAGAGGGUGCACUCGGCGUACGAGUACGCUGGGAGCCAGGACCCGACCAGGAUGAGCCCAGAGGUCUUGGAGAAGGUGGAAGUGCAACAGCUGUUGAACGAGCUGUUCAACUUUGCCGACGGCAGCUUCGUCCGUAGUAGUGAUCGGGUGCAGGCCUUCAAGCUGGGGCGAACAGCUCCCAAGGUAAUGUUGCGAACCGAUUUUGCUUUUUCGAGUACUAGUUCUCCUAGUUGUUGAUUUGUCUUUUAUUUUUGCUGUAGAUUGGAGACGUUGACCAGUGCGCGGUGUUCGUAUCACUGGCACCCGGCAUGGAGAACCCCGCGGGGGUAGACCCGUCGGAAGAGGACGCUGCUCGGUGUGCUUGGUACACCAGCAGUGAGGAAGAGCAGAACCAUCCCGCCCCGACCACCGAAGACAGAGUGGCGGGGAAAAGGCCGCUAGCAGCAAACCCCUCCCCUGCGGAAGCGCUGUCGGCGGAGAGCAGUCAGGCGCCAAAGCGCCGUCGACUCAUCCGGAUCACCGACAACGACGACGAGGAGGAGGAGGCCGCGCCUUCCCUGGUCCGGAGGCCGCGCAGUCGUCCGGACGUAGCGCCGACCACCACUGAUCGGGUGACUAGCGACCCUCCUACACCGCGCAUCGUAGAGACGGGGGCGCAGGCACCAUCCGGUAGGACCAGGAGGAGGUUCACCGCAACACACAGGCGAUCUGACCUGUAAGUGUUUAAUCUUACUUUCGUACUGCGACGUUCUGCAUUUUGCUGCUAUUUCUGACAUUAUUUAAAUGUCGUUUCGUUGUCCAGCGUGGCGUCGGAUGUCGACCCCGACCAGGUCGCUGAAUAGAGGACGGCUGAGCCUGUAGCCGCCGUUGGUGACGCCGCGCCGCAAGCCACGGAGCAGCCUGUGGUGACAACUGCUGCUACGAGCGCCGAGGAAUAACCGGCCCCGGCGAGUGCCGCGGCGAGCAUCCCGACGAGGGAUGAAGAGGCAGCGAGGACCCCUCCACCGAGUAAUGUUGUGGGGGAGGAAGACAGAGUCCCGACUCCUCCAGCCGGAGAAAGGGGGGUCCCAACACCGCCCCGAGCAGAGGCCUCUUCGCCCAUAGGCUCCCCUGGCCUGCACCAGGGGCCAGUGAUGCCUACGACCGCGGCCGGUGGCAGUGCGGCGAACGAGGAGCCCUGGGCGGCCUCUAACGACGACGUGGAGGAGAUCCAGGGUCGUCCCAGUGACGGCCGCCAGCACGUCUACGUGUGGCGCCAACGCGGGGACCACUUCAUUGGACAUGAGGAGCUCGCGGAGACGGAAGAGGCCGCGAGGGUGGAGCGCGCGGCCAAGCGUCUCGUGGACGAGGUUAAGGUAAGUAGUCCUUUGUGCUGCUCGACACUUAUAUGCUGUGUUCCUGGGUUCGACAUAUGUUCUUCUUGCAGGGCGCGAUGAAAACGGUGAAGUACCGGAAGAGGUGCUUCGACCAAAUAGAGCGCAUUGUGGCCGAGAACAAGGCCUUGUCCACGCAGGUGGACCGGCUUCGGUCGGAAGUUGGAGAGAAGGUGGCCGAGAUGAGUGCUCAGGAAGAGCGUCGUUUCGAGCUCACUCGGCGUUUAGCCGACCAGUAUCGGCAGCGGACAGGUGAGUCAUGUACUCCGAGCAUCUGUUUGUGGCCGCGUGGCUAGUUGUGUUGACCAGAGGAUUGUUCCUGUAGACUUGGAAGAGGAGGUCGCGCGCCUCCGGCAAGAGAAGGAACAGCUCGACCAAGAGCUUGCCGGGGCGCUGGAGGCCGGGCGCCGAGCAGGCGAGGAGCUAAGCCACAGGAAUCGGGAAUUGUCUGGUAAUAACCGUGCCACCCCCUUUUUAUUUGGUUGCUUCACAUUCCUUUCCUUGUUCUGACCUCCUGUUUGGUUUGUAGUGCUCAAGGUGAAUACCAAGAAGCAUUUAGACGAUCUGGUCAAGGAUCGGGACUCCUGGAAGGCCAACUGCAUUAAGCUUUGGAAAGGAGUGGCCCCGGUUCUGGACUUGAUCAGCCCUGAGCUUCCUGAAGACCAGCCCCGCGCGCCGAGACUAACGCCAGUCGAGAAGGCGCAACGAGCGUGGGACUGGCUCCAACAGUUCGUCAAGGACGCCGGGGAGUUCGCCGGCGCGCACGUCCUCAGCAUGGUGUGCGCCCACUAUCCCCUGGUCGACCUGUCCAGGCUGGAGAGGGGGUACCCUAAGGAAGUUGGCCCACAGGAGGCAGACGACCUUCGAGCUGGCCUGCUUGACUUGUCGUCGACGGUGAUCGGCGACAUCAACCAAUGCGGGACGGCCACUCCCCCCGACCAGCCGGGGUCAGACAGAUCGGCCAGGGAGUUGUCGGGGGCGUCCAUUGCCGGAGAUGGGCGGUCGACGCCUGCGGUCUCGACCAACCAGGCACCGGUGGCCCCGACCCCUUCGUCUGGGCAGCAAGGCCAAGCGGGUGAUCAGCCCGAGCAGUAGGCCUAUAGGAUAGUCUGUAGGAGUAGACUAGUAUCCGCCCGUCGGGGUGUUUAUUGUAAACUUUGUAUGUAAAGUUUGUAAUAAAAUUUGAUUUUGUCAUGACCAUGAUUCUGAGAGCUGUAAUGUUAUCUGGGUGAUGUAUCACUGUGUUUGAUUGAUAGUCGUUAAGAGUCUUUGCCGCAGAGGAAGACUGUUGUACUCGUCGGAACCUCUGCGUGUAAACAAUACAUAGCGAAAAAGAAAAACUUUUAUUAUUGCUAAUUAUAAGAAACUUACAAGCAAAAGAUACUGGAACUUAUGGAUAAAAACGGCGCAGUUUGUCUAUGUGCCAAGAAAUGGGCACGCGUGUUCCAUCUCGAUAUGCCAGUCUGUAGGAUGUAGGGCGUGUGACCUCGGCGACCACAAAGGGUCCUUCCCAAGGCGUGGAUAACUUGUGCGUUCUUUCCUGGCUUGUUUUCCACUUGAGUACUAGGUCACCGACUGCGAAAGAAUGGUCUUUGAUGUUCCUGUUGUGAUACCGCCUGAUGGCUUCGAGAUACUUUGCUGUUCGAAGACAUGAAAUUAGACGCUUUUCCUCCAUGCAGUUGAUUUCGAGCUCCCUGGCGUUGUCAGCCGUUGAUUGGUCGAAGUUUUCAACUCUUGGAGGUCUGAAGGUUAUAUCAGACGGAAGUACUGCCUCGGAGCCAUACACCAUGAAGUAGGGUGAUACACCUGUAUUGCGACUGGCCUGUGUUCGGAGACCCCAGACCACGGCCGGCAAUUCUUUCAUCCAUGGACCAGGCGCUCUGUCGUUCUCGGUGUACAACCUUUUCUUUAGGGCAUCAAUGAUCAUUCUAUUUGUGCGUUCGACUUGACCGUUUUCUCGUUGGUGAGCAACUGACACGUAUUUUAUGACUAUGCUUCUGUCAUCGCAGAAGUCCCAGAACGUAGUGCCAGUGAACUGAGUGCCCAGGUCGGUGAUUAUACUGUUGGGGAUCCCGAAUCUGUGUAUGAUUUGAUUAAGGAACUCCACGGCCUUCUUGGAGGUUGCUUUGACCAGUGGUGUAACACCCUAGGGGUUUGUCACUUGCUAAGUACUAGGUUUGAGCUCAAACAUGACAAGUUCAUUGGUAAUAAAGAGGUCAAAGUCAAUCUAUGAAAGUAAACCCCAACUUGGGCUUGGUGGAUGCAACCUUGCUUGCAUAUAUGCCUUUUUAAAAGGUAUGCUUUGAUGAUGCUAAUGGAACCUUUUCCAUGUGUCUUAUAUCCAUCCCAAUCUAUGUUGGUCUCUGGAAAAGUUUGGUGAAGUUUGGAAUCAAGAAGUCACAUGAAAUGAUAAGUUAUAUCCUUGUUGGAAUGGCUCUAUUAAGGAAAUAGAAUCAUGGGUCACCAACCAGACCUUGCAAACUUGCUCAUAUGACACUAGAUGAAUUAUACAACAAAAGUCAUGAAGGGUUCAUGUUGAGCUUAUGUAAAGAAAAUGCUGGAAUUGGCCUAAAACCCUAUUUGGAGCUUUAUCAGGAUACUGCUUUGACCAAAGUGAAAGUUUGACUUCGGUUGGAGUUAUGAGGAUUGACCCUAAAUAAAAGUUGUAGUUUUCCUUCUGUAGAAGAAACUUUAUUCAAGGGUCAAGAACCAAAUCAGCCUGCAAAUAGUUCAAACAGAGGCUCAAAGUUCGAAUCAGCUGCUGCUUUUUAGCCCUGAGAAAUAAUUCUAAGUCCCGGAAAGUGACAGCAGCAAGUUAGCUUCUUUGUGACAUUUUAGCAUCCAAAUUCAUAUAGUAACUCAGUUGGAUUCCUUAAUAUGAGUUGGAUUACUCUUCUUGAUGAAAGCAAUGGAUCAAGUAUCAUCAAAUUUAGAGUUCAUUUGGAUAUCUAAAAGUAGCUCCCAAAACAGCAAAUGAUUAUUUUAUCGCUAAACGGACGUCGACCCGUUGGCAUGCCGUGUUCUCAUGUUUUUGUUAAGCAACAAAAGUUGGUCCAAGAAUAGAAGUAGUGGACAAUUACUUGGAAAAGGUCAUGUAAAAAGUUGCAUCAUGUUUGACGUGAUUUGGACCAUCAAUUCUUAGUUUUGCUAAUCACCGUCAAUACGUUGACACUCGUGACUUGGCAUCUAAUUAUCUCAUAAUCUGUUUGUCUAAUGACCAUGGUCCCUUAUUAAAAGUUGUAGUGCACGGUAGGGUGAGCAAACUUCGUUUUUGGCCCAUCUCCAAAUUCGGCCCGGAACAAGCCCAAAAUUGCCUCUCACCUUGCCAACUCCGACGCGCGCCACGUGCUCGACAAAAUACUUCAAAGGACGACGCGUGUCCUGCGCGUGGUCACCAUGCACGGCCCUGUGCCCCACCUCCCCUGUCCUUGCUGCUUCGAUGGCAUAGAGCCGCCCAGGCGCCCUCCACUCCGUUGGCUCACUCUCUGUGCUUCCCCAGUCCUCCCUACUCGCCCCCUCUCGCCCAUCGUUCGCUCUGGAGCUUGCCAUGGCCAGCAGCAGCCAUGGCCGGUGGACAGAGCUCCCUGCCAUCGCUGCUCUCCCUAUUGCGCUUGGUUAAGCCUCAGGCUGGAAAUGUCCCGGCGUCCACCCCGCCUUCCUCCUCCUCCUGCGCAUGCUCGCGUGGCCCAUGGAAGCCGAAGCCGCGCCGGUGUCGGGCCACCAUCGCUGCAGCCGUCGGCAUCCAUGGCUAAGCCACCCUGGACCACCACGGCGUGUGCCGCGGCCACCACGGGGUGCGCACGGCCCCCCUGGUCCUCCCCCGCCACUUCUUCGUCGCCGACGUGCCGCUAAACCGCCGGAAAACGCGAGUCCGAGCACCUCCUCUGUUCUGAUUCGCGUUAGGGAUCUCGCGCGACAAUUCGACGAAAUGGGAGGGGUUAUGUGCGAACCUGUGAGUCAUGUGAAUAGUGUUGCAAGGAUCUAUUCGUUGGAAUCUAGUUUGUGAAAAGUUCAGGGUUCCUGAUGCAAGAUCCAUUUUGCUUUGUUUCAUUCAGAUUUCUAGAUGAUCUUUGAUAAUGCAUAGAAAUUUAUAGAAAAGUCGUAAAAUAGCAAAUGUGAACUUUUUGGAAUUCUUAUGAAAUUCACUAUGCAGUAGAUCUAUAAUAUGGCAUGGUUUAGUUUGAAGUUUUCGUCGUAAAAAUAGAUUUAUGCAGUUAGGUUUUAAUUGCUUGUUAUAUUUGUCUUUUUCAUAACUGCUGUGUUGUUGCCUAAAUAAAUGUGAAAAUAUUGUGACAUGCUUUUCAUAUGAUAUUUGAUGACUGGUACAAUUUUCAUGAAUUUAGGAACAAUAGAUUAAGAGUCAUAAAAAUAACAAAUACCCCGUGUUCCUUUGCUCCUAUUCUGAGUGGAUCUGCAUAUUUGUAUUGUUUGGCUCAGUUAAGUUGUGAAUCAUGCCUUAAUGAAAAUAUAUAAGUUUUAUUACUUUUCAUGAUAUUUCCAAAAAGAUAAAUAGCACAAUUUUCGGUUAAGCACAUGUUUAGUUAUAGUGGUUUAAAGUAUUGUUCCAGUUUCUGUCUAAACCCAGACAGCACUGCAUUGUUUGUAAUGUACGACCUUAUUAAUGGUAGGUUUAGCUGUAGAUGUUUAUAACAAAGAUGUUCACAAUUUCGUAAGAUUUCUAGAAAGUACACAAUCAUAAAUUAUGGACAUGUGAACCUCAAGUUAUAGCUGUUUAAUGUAGCAUGACAGAUUCUGUCUAUGUUUUGGACAGAGAUGCCUUCAUGGGAUUAAUUGACCUUGUUAACUGUGGAAUCAUAUUUAGAUGAUAAUAAGAAAGUUGUAGGUAACUUUAUAAGCUUUCCACAAAUAUAAGAAUUAUGUUUGCUGGAGGUCAACAACUCCAGUUAUGCUGCUUUGAAUUGCCUAUCAGUUUUCUGUGUGUAAUUGUACCCCUACUGUUUGGGCAGCAUGGGCAGUUUUGAUUGUGCAACUAAUUUCAUGAUAUAAAUGAUGUUUCUUGUGCAACUUGUCUAUAUACAAUAUGUAGAUAAUUUAUUAACAUAUCUUGUGGUAAAGUUUCAUAUCAUUUGGCUAAGUGGUUUAUGAGUUACAGUAGUAUGAAGUUCAUCCCCUGAAAUGCUUGUUCUCUGGAAAUUCCUGGACCAGAUUAUAUGGUCAUGCAUGUUUGACUUGGUUAACUUGUUAAUCAUGCUAAUAUGAUUAAAGAUGAAUUGUAUAUGAUUUUAUAAUCUUUCCAGAAUGUCCUAUUGCAUAGUUUUUGGAGCUGUGUAGCUCUAGUUAUGAAUUGUUUACUGAGUUGCUGCAUGUAUGUCCAAAAUUGCUGAAAAUGCAUGAAUGCUUGAUUGCUUUACUUGUUGUGUGCAAACUGUGAUUCAUGUCUUUAAUGGUGAUUAAGUAAUACACUUGUAACCUUGUAAAACUUGUGUCAUUAUUGAUAUGUUUGCUCUAUAUAAUUGGUCGUGUGAUGUUAGCUAAAUAACUUUAGAUGCCUAUGUCUUGCAUACUUUUCUGUGAUGCAUGUUGUGUUAUUAUUCUUUAUAUUCAUGCACUUGCAUCUUGCAUCUCAUCUAGGUGCGCUAGAUGAAUCACGUCAAGGUCUUGGUGUGGGAACAAACCCGAAGACAGUGUUGGGUGGACCCAUCCUGAAGGUGGAAGGACAAAGCAAGUGUUGUGACCUAAGAUGUCACCAAGAUGGAGCAACUAAUUGAACUGACUCCUUGUUGAUCCCAGGCAAGCCCCGGAGCAUUAUAAGUCUCCUACUACUUUUGAAUGCAAUUGAGAAUAUAUGUUAUAUAUGUAUUGUUGCAUUAAGUAUAGGAGUUGGGUGAAACCCUUGCUGCAUAUAUCACUCCUUGUCCAGUAAAUAUACCUAUACCCCUACGUAGAUUCAGAAUCGAAUCUAAAUGCUUAGUUAUGCUUAGACCGGUAAAGCCAGGUGACGUUGUGUCACCUGAGCCAAAUAGGUGAAUACCUGGAUAAGUUGGCUAUAUAUGCUAUCAUGGAAAUAACCAAGUGAUGAGGAUGAAUAAUUGGAGACCGGGCGGGACGAUGGUAGAGAAGUAACAAGACAUGGAGGUCUUGGGUGCCUAUCUAUCCCCGCAUGUGUCGAUUAAGGACCGAUCGUUGACAGCUCUCUUGUCAUGUUGAACGCAUGUCCCACACUUAGCUGGAAGGAUAAGUCGUUCCAACCGCGAAGCCUGAGCACUUUCCGGGCCGGGAAUCGGCCCGAUGUACGCGCUGUAUUGGUGAUGGUUGAGGAGAACGACGAGGGCGCGGCGCGCAACCUUGGUAUACCUUGGAUACCUCGGUCUCCGGAACGGUCCUCGGGUACGGGCGGUGCCUGUCGAACCCGCGAAUUGGUCCUGGAUAGUGCAAUACGGUGAUCUGUAGCUCACUUGAUCAGUGAGUGUGGUUUGUGUGGGGAAUAACUCGCCAGUUGGUUAGAAAUCGAUUCGAAUCGCCAUCGCUCCUGGACAGUGAGCACUUGACUUGAGCUUCGUCAUCGUAGUAAUGUUUAUGGAACACUUGGAAGGUUAUGGUAUGAUGAUGUUGGAAAUGCCACAUCAAAUAUGGGUACUAUGGUUGUAUCUUAAUCAAGUGAUUGCUUUAGUACAGGUGCUAAUCUAGAUGACAGGUUAAUAAUUAUUAACUUGAGCUAAAUACCUGAAAGGUUACUUAGUUGCAACUUAAGCUUUUUAUGCAAAAAGUGUUGUCAAGCUAGCUCCACCAAUAAAGCCUUGCAUACUCCUUGGUGUCAUAUUAUUUCUGGUUUAUGACGGGUAAGUCUAGCUGAGUACCUUCUCGUACUCAGGGUUUAUUCCCACUUGUUGCAGGUUGUGAUGUAUCAUGGCUACUGCAAGAGUUGGAUGAGUCCUACCAUAAUAGAGGAGUAAGAUCAUGGGCAUGAUCCUUCUUAGUUACCUCAUCUAUGUUGCUUUUGUUGGAGUUGACCUGAAUACUGGCAUGUAUUUGAAAUGAGGGCAAUAUUGGUUUCAAAUUACUUUACUUCCACUACUUUUCAACUCAAGUUGUAAUAAAUAUAUUAAACUCUGAUGUAUGUCAAACUACUUGUGAAAUGGAUGUAACAUGUGACUUGUUAUGUUGAAUCACUAUGAUCUUGGCUUGUAUGAUGGUUGGAUUGAAAUCCCUCGUGAUUUUACAAACUACCGGGUUUAUGAGAGUUCGACUAUGUUAAAGCAACUGCUUUGGCGGGAGUUUUUCAUAGUUGAUCUCUUGUAAAUUGGGCGGUUCUGUUACAAGUGGCAUGUAUUCGAUCCACUUCGAGAAUUUAUCGAUUAACACGAAGACGAACUUGAAGUUGCCGGGAGCUGGUUUAAAUGGCCCGAUCAUGUCGAGGCCCCAGCAGGCGAAAGGCCAGGAUGACGGAAUAGUUUGAAUCUCAUGAGCAGGUACGUGGGUCCUUUUGGCAAAGAACUGGCAUCCUUCGCAAUGUCGGACCAGUUUUUCUGCGUCGGUGACCGCGGUUGGCCAGUAAAAACCUGCUCGGAAAGUCUUCCCGACCAGUGUUCUGGAGGCUGCGUGGUUGCCGCAGGAUCCGGCGUGUAUGUCAUCUAGGAGCUUGAUGCCAUCAUCUUGGGAUAUGCAUUUGAGCAGCACUUCGGAACUUGCAUUUUUUUCGCAUAAGUUUGCCGUCCACCAGUAUGUAAUUCUUUGAUCGUCGAAUGAGGCGCUCGUUCUCCGUUUUAUCCUGAAAGCCUGACCCGUCCGAUAUAUACCUGAUGAACGGGGUGCGCCAAUCACGGAUGCUGGAUGUCGGAGUAGCGUCGUCUAUGAGCAUUGCCUCAAUAGGUUGCUUUUUGACCAGGUCUGUGCCCACACUUGGCUCAUGGAUGUCCUGGAUGAAAACACCUCGCGGGAUCUGGGCCCGAGAUGACCCUAACUUUGACAUCGCAUCCGCUGCCUGGUUCUUGUCCCGGACCACGUGGAUGUACUCUAUGCCAUAGAAGUUGGAUUCCCAUUUGCCGAUUUCUUUGCAGUAGAGAUCCAUCUUCUCGUGGGUUGCGUCCCAUUCCUUGUUGAGCUGGUUGAUAAAUAAAGCGGAGUCGCCGUGGACGUAGAGGCGUUUGACUCCCAACUCAACGGCUAGUCGUAUGCCAUGUAAGCAUGCUUCGUACUCAGCGACGUUGUUUGACGCCGGAAAAAGGAUCCUAAGGACGUAACGCAAUUUGUCCUUGUUAGGCGACACGAAAAGUAUCCCAGCGCCGGUGCCGUUGAUGUUCAAGGACCCGUCAAAGAACAUUGACCAGUGGUCGGAGACGUCGGAAACGGGAGGCUCGUUAAGAUCCGUCCACUCUACGAUGAAAUCGACCAGGGCCUGAGACUUGACUCUGGUGCGGCUCUGGAAAUCUAGGGAGAAUGGGCAUAACUCCAUUGCCCAUUUUACAAUUCUACCGUUGGCGUCUUUAUUGCGCAGAAUAUCACCAAGAGGGAAACUGGUGGUUACCGAGACCCGAUGGCCGUCGAAGUAGUGCUUUAGCUUCCUCGAUGUUAUUAGAAUGGCUUAUAUGAGCUUCUGUAUUUGUGGGUAUCUGGCCUUGGACUCAUUUAAGACUUCGCUUAUGAAAUAUACGGGUCUCUAGACCUUGUAGACGUGGCCUGGCUCGUCUCGCUCGACCACUAUUGCCGUGGAGACGACCCUGUCGGUUGCUGCAAUGUAAAGGAGUAGGUCUUCAUUGGGCUAAGGCACUGUGAGAACAGGCGGUGAGGUGAGGAAAGUCUUGAGCUGGGUGAACGCAGCGUCAGCUUCCUCUGUCCAGGAGAAUUUUUCUGACGCCUUCAAGAGUUUGAAGAAGGGAAGGCCUUUUUCUCCUAGUCUUGAGAAGAAGCGGUUGAGGGCGGCCAUACAUCCGGUGAGCUUCUGAAUAUCCUUGACGUUCUUAGGUGGUCGCAUGUCGAGCACUGCUUUUACUUUUGAAGGAUUUGGUCGUAUGCCGUCGCGGCUGACGACGUUGCCGAGCAGUAGACCAGAGGGGACCCCAAAGAUACACUUUUUCGGGUUAAGCUUCCACUUGUACUUGUUUAGUGCCUUAAAGGUUCGGUCUAAGUUAUCGAUUAGGGUGAUUGCGUCCCUUGUUUUGACGACGACGUCGUCUACAUAAGCCUCGAUGAGGUCAUCACGAAUCUCAUCGUGGAGGCAUUGCUGGAUGGCCCGUUGAUAGGUGGCUCCAGCGUUUUUGAGUCCAAAGGACAUGGUCGUGUAGCAGUAUGCGUCGAAGGGAGUAAUGAAAGAUGUUUUGAUCUGAUCAUCUUCCUUUAGCGAGAUCUGGUGAUAGCCAGAGUAGCAGUCUAGAAAAGAGAGGAGUUUGCAUCCGGCUGUUGAGUCGACCACCUCGUCGAUGCGAGGGAGACCAAAAGGAUCUUUAGGACAGUGUUUAUUGAGAUCAGUGUAAUCAACGCACAUUCUCCAUUCAUUAUUCUUUUUGCGUAUAAGAACCGGAUUGGUGAGCCAAUCGGGAUGAUACACUUCUUUUAUGAAUCCGGCUGCUAGAAGCCAUGUUAUUUUUGUCCUAAUAGCCUCCUUUUUAUCACGAGCGAACCGUCGCAGCUUUUGCUUGAUGGGUCUUGCGGUCUUCGAGACAUUUAAGGAGUGCUCGAUCAGGUUUCGUGGGACGCCGGGCAUGUCUGCGGGUUUCCAUGCGAAAACGCUCACGUUGUCCCUUAGAAACCUGACGAGCGCGUCUUCCUAUUUAGGGUCCAGGUUGGCCCCGAUGAGGGCCAUUUUCUCGGGGCUGCCUUCGACCAGCUGUACUUCCUUGUACUCCUUGGAUUUUGAAAUCUUCCUGGCGGUCUCCUGCUCGGGUAGUCGGAGCUGGUCGGGAGGGAGCUGUGCGGCUUGGCUUGCUGUUUCUGCCAUGCGAAUUGAAAGAUCAAUUGCUUCAGUGAUCUUGAAGCUCUCCUCCUUGUAGGUAUAUGCAGUGUAGACAUUGCCUCUGACAGUUAGGAUGCCCUUCUCUGUAGGCAUUUUGAGGACCAGAUAUGAGUAAUGUGGAACUGCCAUGAACUUUGUCAGCGAUGGUCGGCCCAGUAUGGCGUGGUAGGUUUCAUCGAAGUCGGCGACCACAAAGUUGACGAACUCUGUUCGAAAGUGGUCGGAUGUGCUGAAUUGGACAGGCAGUGUUAUCUGUCCGAGGGGCACUGAACUUUGACCUGGCAAGACUCCCCAGAAUUGAGUGUCGUAGGGCUUUAGCUGUGCCGGGGUUAUCUUGAGAGCAGGCAAGCUGUUGCGAAAAAGGAUGUCAAUGGAGCUUCCCCCAUCGACGAGCACGCACUCGAAUCUGAUGCUGUUGAUGCAAGGAUCCAGUAUUAGAGGGAAACGUCCUAGUUCCGGGAUGGUGGCCCACUGGUCCUUCCUGCUGAAGGAGAUUUCCCUGUGCGACCAGGGAGGGAAUUUCGGGUCAGCGAUUAGGCCAUCCGUGGUGUCUAUAUUGAGGCAGGCUCUUUUUAAGAGCUUUCUUUCUCGCUUAGACUCGGUGGAGACCUUGCCCCCAAAGAUGGAGUGGACCACGUCGGUGGGACUGACAUACUAGUGUCGUGGGUCCCUAUCCUGGUUAGGACGCGCAUUCCUCCAUCGUGUGGCUGGACUUUGGAUGCAGCUGGCAUGGUCCCUUCAACGUCUUGUUGUAGUCGUCCUGGUAGUCUCGCCGCCCAUUGGGACGCUUGACCGUAUUCACCUCGUGGUCGUGGUCAUGAGGGCGCUUGCCUCUGAAGUCAUCGCGGUUGUCACACCGCCUGUCCCAGCCUUCUCUGUGGUCCCGAUUGUCGGGGCGACGAUGGUUCCUAUUGUCGAAACGACCUCAACUGUCAUCUCGUCGAGGGGGCUGGUCGGGACCUCUCGCAUCGUCCCGGAUGAGUUUUUCUGCGUCGUCGGCGUCAGCGUAGUUUUUAGCCGUGGCAAGAAGCUCGGCCAUCGUUGUUGGUCUUUUGCGCAGCAGCUUGUUCUUCAGUGCUUCAUGGAAGUGCAGCCCCUUGAUGAAAGCAGAUAUGGCCUCGUCGUGGGAAAUUUUCGGGAUCUUAAGGCGCAUAUCCGAGAAUCGUCGGAUGUAAUCGCACAGAGGCUCGUUUUUCCUGUCCCUUAUCCUUUCGACGUCGUACUUGUUCCCAGGCUGCUCGCAGGUGGUGAUGAAGUUGUCGAUGAAAGCUUGGCAUAGUUCUUCCCAAGAAUCGAAAGAGUCCUCGGGCAGGCCUAGGAGCCACUGGUGACCAGCCUGGUCGAGGACUACUGGGAAGUUGUUGGCCAUGACGUGCUCAUCUCCUGCUGCUGAUCGGACGGCGAUCUCGUAAAGAGUGAUCCAGUUUUCUAGGUUUUCCUUGCCGUCGUAUUUUUUGAGUUUCUCGAGCUUGAAAUUGUGGGCCACACGACCUGGCGGAGGUGUGAAGAGAACUGUCUCAGGCCCGGGGGACCAUGCGUUGCAUCGUACUCAAUGCGACGCAGGUUUUCGUGAACUGCUCUCUCCGUGGCGCGCCUGUUGAUGCGGUCCCGGGCGUCUUUGGGAGGGAUAUUGUAUCGGAGAUCCCUGUGCUAGUUUACUUCCUGACCACGUCCGCGAUUAUGCUCGCGAUGGCCGCCAGCAUCCCGACCACCAUCAUCGCGCCGUGAAUCUUUUCGAUGAUUAUUGGGGGAACGGCUGCGGUGGUGCCUGCUGGGUUGUGGUGAGGUCUGGCUGUGAUGGCUCUGGUCGGAGGAGACCUCUGUAUAGGAGAUAGCUUGGACUCUUUUGAGCAGAGUGGCUGUCUGUCCCAUCGUGGCGAUCAGGUGUGCUCGAACGCUGGAUCGGACGCCCUGGCAUUCGGGAGUAUCAGGGAGUCGAUCUAAGUUGGCCAUGGCAACAGCCACGUUGGCGCUUGGUGUUUUGUAGACUGGCUGAUCCCCGACCAUGUCGAAAGCGUCGGUGAGGUUAUGUGGUGGGAGUUGGCGUUCCUCGUCUGCGCGUCAUCGGGUGCGGUCAGCAUUGCGCUGCUCGCGGAGCUGCCUUUGCUCGUCUGUUUCUCCGUCAACGACCGGCUCGUCGGCGCUGACAUUGAAAACGAGGUCUCCACGCCGAGGUGGAAAGACCGGGAAGCAAGAGAAACCCGGAGGAUACGGUGGUAAAUCCAGGUCGUAGUCUUCGUCCUCAGAGUUUAUGACUUCAGUAGGAACGGAGCCAGUGCUAGAGUUUGUGCUGGAAGCCUGGCCGUCCCGUAGUUCUCGGAUCGUCACCAUGUUGAUGUAGUGACGAGUUGGCCGAUUCUUCCGCUUUGGCAACCAACCAGCCCCGUUGAAGAGGGAUUUGAUGUGUCGCGAGUAAUCAACGGUCGAAUUGUCCAGCCCGUAAGGAGAGCCUUGAUCUGGACCAGCCUCGAGUUUGACGGACCAUCCUGAGGGGGUGGAGGUUAUCGUCAGAGACGUUCCCAGCUGUUCGUGUGUGACGACACAAGUUGGCUGGUAGGAGUUGUAAAAACCCGUUGGCGCGGCUUGGUCAGGCUGGUGUGAGAUCCCAUCUAUUAGUUGGGAGGCUUCGAGAAGCUUGAGGUCGGCGCGAUCAAGAGCUCGGAAAAGGUCCGAGCCAUCGAUCUUCUUUCCCCUGUAGCGCGGAAACGGCGGUCGGGUGCUCGGUGCCGGUGUCCGCGUGGUCAGAGCCGAUGCCUCCAUCGUCCCAGAUUGGAUCUGGGUUUCUUCCGAAACCGUGGCCGUGAGGCCACCGCCGCGAGUUGUCCACGUAAUCUGGCCGACGGUGAACGUGAGGCCUUCAGGCACGGCCACAGAAUCUGGAACGAUGACCAUCUUGUUCGCUGGAAAAGCUGUAUGCACACCCCCUACCUGGCGCGCCACUGUCGACGAAAGCUAGUCGGCAGUCUACCCUGGGGUAUACCCACGGUAGUAAUUUAUCGGUAGACGGUGCGCAAGCUACGAACUUGACGGUGACGCAAGACACAGACAAGGUUUUUAUCCAGGUUCGGCCGCCGUGUGGGCGUAAUACCUACGUCCUUCGUCUGAUUGUAUUGGAUUGUGUUGAGAGAAUCUCCUAGGGGGGUCCCUUGCCUCUCCUUAUAUAGUCCGGAGGGUAGGGUUACAGAUCUGGAAACUAAUCCUAGUCGGUUACAAUUGUCAUAGAUAGUUCGAUAUCAAUUCCUAUUCUAACCGACUAGAAUCCUGCUUGAUCUCCACGUCUUGUUUCCUUGCGCGAAACUCCGAGCUUGUCGGAUCAAGCCUCGAACUUGUCUCGUAAUGGGCCAAGCCUCCUGGCCCAAGUCUAGCCGUAAGGGUAUAGGGGUUUAUACCCCCACAAAUAUAGGUUUAAGCAUGGUGCUUAGACCUAGAUUACUUGUGGAUAUCCCCUGUCUAGCUGGAUCGUGUGGUAGGCCGCGUAGGUGACAGUUACGUUGGUCCCCUGUAGUCCACCUCUUGUUAGCAGGACGGGUAGGGUUUAUAGGCCUAUGGAUAAGCAUCCUUUGUGGUGUAUUCUUAUCACGUGGUUCGUCCCAGACAUAGACAUACCCCUUUGAAGUAGAGAAACCAUAGUUAUCCUCUCUAUUCUGCUACCAUCGCCCAUAUAUUAGAUUGCUCUACUCUCUAUUCCCAUAUUAUCACCCAUUGUUAUUUUACCUUUAAUAUUGUUCUUAUUCAAUUCUACCAUCUUUCCUAUUUACACCUACCUAUCUAUCUAGGUUAAGUUAGAGCGUAGAUCAGUUCUCCCGUUUCCCUGUGGAUAAGAUAAAACCUUUAACCGGGUAAAAGCUACAACGGUAUCCGUGCGCUUGCGGAUUUAUCUGUGUGCGUAUAAAUACCAUAGUACACUCUAGUGCCAUGUUGGGGAUGACAACCUAGUAUUCAAGUGGUGUUAGCAAGUGUGAACAAAGACCUACCAAGCAGAAACUGCGACGGUUCGCUCGUGACAAAAAGGAGGCUAUUAGGACAGAAAUAACACGGCUUCUAGCAGCCGGAUUUAUUAAAGAAGUGUAUCAUCCCGAUUGGCUCGCCAAUCCAGUUCUUGUAAGAAAAAAGAAUAAUGAAUGGAGAAUGUGUGUUGAUUACACUGAUCUCAAUAAACAUUGUCCUAAAGAUCCUUUCGGUCUCCCUCGUAUCGACGAGGUGGUCGACUCAACGGCCGGAUGCGAACUCCUCUCUUUUCUAGACUGUUACUCUGGUUAUCACCAGAUCUCACUAAAGGAAGACGACGAGAUCAAAACAUCCUCUAUUACUCCUUUCGGUGCAUAUUGCUACACCACCAUGUCCUUUGGACUCAAAAAUAUCGGAGCCACCUAUCAACGAGCUAUUCAGUAAUGCCUCCACGACGAGAUACGAGAUGACCUCGUCGAGGCUUAUGUCGAUGACGUUGUCAUCAAAACUAGGGUCACAAGCACCCUGAUCGACAACUUAGACCGGACUUUUAAGGCGCUGAAUAAAUACAAGUGGAAGCUUAACCCCAAAAAGUGUAUCUUUAGGGUCCCCUCUGGUUUACUACUCGGCAACGUCGUCAGCCGCGACGGCAUAUGGCCAAAUCCUUCAAAAGUUAAAGCUAUGCUCGAUAUGCGACCACCCAGAAACGUCAAAGACAUUCAAAAGCUCAUCGGAUGCAUGGCCGCUCUCAGCCGGUUCAUCUCCAGAUUGGGGGAAAAAGGCCUUCCCUUUUUCAAACUGCCCAAGGCGUCGGAAAAUUUCUCCUGGACUGAAGAGGCCAACACGGCAUUCACCAAGCUCAAGGCCUUCCUCACCUCACUGUUGAUGGUCCUUAAGUAUCAAAUUUAAUUAUCAAAUAAAUAAAGAAAAUGAUCCAAAUGAAAUCAACAUCUAGACUUAGGGUUUUAUCUGAUAGAAUUCCACGAGUUUUGGUGUUUGUCUAUUUCUGCAGGAGGUUAUUAGGAAAUACGGAAGAAAGGCCCACACGUCGGGAUUACAUAGAGAUAUUAACGUGUCGCGCAAUUAUCUUACAUCUAGAAGACUCCAGAAGACACGGGAAGAAAGCGGUGGCCGAACGGGGCCAGAGGCAGGGCGCCCGCCAUCCUUCCCUGGGCGCCCGCCCCCUCUGAGAGUCCAAUCAGGACUCUGUUUCUCGGGAGAUCUCCACCGACCUAAAGGAUCAAGGAUAACCGUUCAAUCUAAGUCGGUUUGAUCCAACGGUCCAUAUUCACUUGAAGGGACUAUAAAACCAGAACCCCUGGCCCCUGGAGGAGAGAGUCUCUCAACACUAAUUCAUUAUUCUCAAGGGAGAAGAAGCCUCUGAUCAAGAUUAGAGCCACCACAUCAAUUAGACAUCUAGAUUAGCAUAGCUACAUAGGAUUAGAACUAGAAGGAGUCAAUCUUCGAUUGGUUUCCGGAUCUGUCAAGAGGAUUCUUGGUAAUUCUCUAAUUGUGCUUCUAAUUGCUUUCUAAUUAUCUUUGUUCUUCAAUAUUAUGAAUAUGACUUUGUUCUACUUCAAUAUAUUGCUUAUGACUUUGCUCUACUUGUUUAUAUUCAAGAUUAUAUUGUUCUUAGUUUAUCAUAGUUAUGUACUUGGCUUAGUUAGAUUGGAUCUAUAUACAUGCUUAGGAUCGUAUAGCGUUUAUCCAUCGGAUCCAUGGGUAAAUGAUAGAUAUUGUGUAGGCGUGGUGCUUAUACCGUAUUUAUCUGCGAUUGUACCCAAUAUGCCAGAUUGUGGGGUAGUUCGUGAUAGUGACAGCUUCAUUGAUUCUUAUAUAGUCCCCCUCUCGUGUAUUGGGCUGGCAGAGCAAUAUUAUUACAGGGGAGUGAUUGCUAUGUUUCUCAUUUACCUUGCUAAUAUCACUAUGCAUGGGCGUAGUCUUGUCUUGCAAAGAUUGCUAAGUAUGCUUGCACUAAUUAUGAUAAUGCUAGACUAUAUAGUUGAGAAUAACUUAGGAAAUAUUCUUGUAGUUCAUUCUAAUUCCAUGCUAAUGACUUUCUAGAGUAUCUAAUUGAGGUGCUUAUCAUAUUUAUUAUGUGGCUAAGUUAUGAUCAGCUUAAUUAUCUUUGUCACUAUUCAUUAUUUCAUAUAUCUUAUAUGUGACACUUAUCCCUGUAUGAAAGAGUUAGAUAGAUGUUCUCAAUUAUAUAUGCAAUGAUAGAUACUCAAUCUCAUAUUCUAUUCUGUAAUCAAUAUUGAUGAUUGCUAAUCCCUUCCCAGUGGUAAAAAUAUAAAUAACGAUACCUGGAAUACUUCCCGGUUAAAAUGCUACAUUGGUAUUAAUCUGUGCGCUUGCAGAUCCCAUUCAUUAUUUAUUUAGAAGAGCAAUUUCAUAUUUCAAUACCGCGUCUCUCAUAUCAUGCUGGGGAUGACAACUUGGCUUAAGUGGUGUGAGGGAUAGGUUUGGCUUUUUUGGCACCGUUACUAGAAUUAGAAAACUAAUUCUACUUUUGGUAAUGAUGUUAAGAAUACCCAACAAGCAUUUUUGGCGCCGUUGCCGGGGAAGGUUGAUUACUAAUUAGGAAUGGAAUAAAGGAUUUUGAGUUAUCAUUCGCAUCACUAAUAUGAUUGAGCUUAUCUAUUCUCUCAUACAGUUUUACCCUGAUAUUUUUCUAUUUUAUCUUAUGCAGGGGAAUGUAUGAAUAGAAGACAUCUUCUAGGAAAUUUUGUUGACAAUCCCGAAGCAUUAUUCAAGAAGACAAGAGCCAAGCUAAAGAAGAGAUCAUCAACACUUCAGCAAGAAGCUUCAUCCAAUCAAGAAGAUCACCGAAACUUGUCUUCAGAGUUUGAAGCCAUAGCGAACAAAUCAAUCCGCGAGUUCUCAGCUCCCACUACGGACAACAUCUGCACUGGACCUACUGCAGAGAUCGAUGGCAACUUUGAGCUCAAGCCUAGACAUAUCAACAUGGUGAAAUCCAACCAGUUCUGUGGGAAGGCACACAAAGAUGCUAGUGCUCAUCUACAACACUUCCUGUAGAUUUGCAACACAUUUACCAUAUCUGGAGUUUCCAGAGAUGCUAUACUACUUCGCCUCUUCCCAUUCUCACUGUUAGGGAGAGUGAAGCAGUGGUUCUACGCUACAAAGGAGAAGAAUACUACGUGGGCACUCUGCUCAACAAACUUCCUGGCUAAGUUCUUUCCCAUGGGCAAGACCAAUGCUCUCCGUGGGAAGAUUACAAGUUUUCAUCAACAAAAUGAUGAAUCUGUUCCAGAAGCAUGGGAGCGCUUUCAAGACUACAUCCUAGAAUGUCCCCAUCAUGGAAUGGAGAGUUGGCUAUUGAUGUAGAUGUUUUAUCAUGGGCUCGGCAACAGUGCCCGAGAAACCAUGGAUGCUGCAGCUGGAGGAGCAUUCCUAUCACUUACCAUAUCACAAGCCACAGCUCUUGUGGAGAAGAUGGCGUCCAACCAAAGCUGGAAUGAAGAGAGGACCCAAACACGCAAGAGAGGUGGAGGUAUGCAUCAGCUGAAGGAGGUAAACAUGCUGUCUGCAAAGCUAGACCUACUCAUGAAGAAGCUCGAUGAUAGAGCUAGAGAUAAGAAAGAAGUUAUGCACAUCUACGACUCUCACAUGACUUGUGAGGAGUGUGGAGAUACUGGACACUCAGGCAAUCGCUGCCCUGAGAUACUUGAGGAUGUGAACUACAUCAACAACAACAACAACUACUACUACUACUACUACAACCGUCCUCAACAAAAUCAAGGUUGGAAUCAACAGAGGCCUAACUACUCAGGUAAUUAUCAAGGUAACAAUUCUUACAACAAUAAUAAUAAUUUUCCACCUCUGAGAGAGUUAGUGUCUAAUCAAGGAAAGCUAAUGGAUAACCUAUCUAAGAGAUUGGCAUCAAAUGAUAAAAUGCUAGAAAAUAUAAAUAAUAGAAUGGAUAAUUUCUCUACUGCCAUCAAGAAUCAAAUUAGCUUUAAUAAAAUGAUUGAAUCUCAGUUAAAUCAAAUAGCUGCUGUUGUUCCUACUACUAACCCCGGUAUACCAUCACAACCGGAAGGAUUAGAAUCUACAAAUCUUGUAGACAUGAUUGAUGCAGGUAAUUGGAGAAACCCCGUCACUGAAUUUACUACUGACCUUCUGCCGGUCAAGAGAGGCGAUCCAGGACGCCCCGUCAUCCCGAUCUCCAUCGGCAUGGUGGACGUCCCAGAAGCACUCUGCGACUUUGGCUCCAGCGUCAACAUUAUACCAAGGGUACUCUAUGAAAAACUCUUUACAUAUCCUUUAUUAAAAACAACCAUGUGUUUGCAGUUUGCAGAUCAGACGAUAAGUUUUCCAAAAGGAAUAUUGAAGAACCUUUGUGUCAGAGUUGGUACCUUGUACGCCCCAGCAGACUUCGUAGUGAUAGAGACCGGUAAUGAUGAGAGAGCACCCAUCAUCUUAGGGAGGCCAUUCUUAAACACCUCGGGAGCUGUCAUCUAUGCUAGUGCUGCCAAGAUCAGUUUCUACAUCAAAGGGAGGAAGGAGACAUUUUUCUUCAAGAACAAGACUACACAAAUCCCAGAUCAAUCCAGACGUGAAUCAAGGAAGAGGACCAACACGAGGAACAGGAACAAGCGAGUGUGGACCGAGUCAGGUAAGAUGGUCACUGCAGUUCAUGGAGGUCAAGAUCAUCAACUUAAGUCACCAUUUUUGACCAAGAAGGACAACCCAGGAAUGCCAAGCAUCUAUUGCUCCAUAAAUGGAUGCAACUUCUACAAGACGACUUGCGACACCGGAUCGGGCGUCAACAUAAUGGUCGUAGUCACCUAUCGGCUCUUGCUCGGAACCAUGCCCCUAAGACCAACAUACAUUCAGCUCCAGAUGGCAGAUCAGACAUUUCAAGAAGUUAAAGGAACAGUAAUUGAUGUCCUAGUCAAAAUAGAUGAUCAUUUUGUCUACACAGACUUUCAAGUUAUUGACAUGGGAGAAGAUGAAUACGAUCCACCCAUCAUCCUUGGAAGACCGUUCCUCAGCACCGUCAAAGCAAUCAUCUACAUUGGAACCGGAGAAGUCCAUAUGCACUUCCCCUCAGAGAAGGUACGCCAUUCUUUUAUUGACCCUAACUAUAUCGUUGAAGAAUCUAAGCAGGUAAGAAAAUGACGCAACCGCAACUAGUGGAGGGAAAUCAUCAAGGACGGGUGGGCAAACUAUGAAGGAGAAGUUGUAAGGUCAGAAGACGUAGAGUUUAAAUAGAAUUAUCCAGAGGAGACCGAAGCACCGAGUCAGGUAUGGAAAGAGAAGAUAACUAUACACGAAGAGGAGGCGCUGCUGAAAGUACCGACUCCGCCAUCCAACGAAUCCAAGGACAAUUGAGAAAACGGAGAGUCCCGUUCGGAGGACUUAAAAACACCGAACGCCUUGCCAAGAGUUCCACAAGCUUUAUUGUCUAUUUGAGCUCCGCAGAAUUUAAGAAUCAAGAAGACUAGCAGAUGAAGGACAUUCUAAUCGCUGUCAGAAUCCUGCUGACUUUCAAAUACACCUCUACCACCUGCUACCUACAUCAAGAGAAAUUACGUCAAAAUUCAGUUUGGGGGAGAGCACCCCCAUUUUUCCCGAUAAGUAUUUCUAUCUAUCUAUCUUUAUACUUAUACUAUAUUAAAAUAUAAAUAUACAUAAACCAGGAAAAACCAAAUAAAGAUUUUGUGCUUAUAUAUCUUUUGCUUAGUGUGUUUAAUAAAUAAAUAAAGUGGCUAAGCAAAUCUGUAUCUUAAUAAUAAAACUCUAGCACGGAUAUGAUGAAUAGUUGCUCUGCCUAAUUUGCACAUUUUAAGUUCUCUCUCAAGUUUAGAUAUAACUGUUAUAAUGUAAAGCUUGCUCUAGACCUAAACUUGUGGGAUGAAAACUUGAUCUAAAGUCUAAGUUGUUAACGGGUAUGAAAUUGGAAGGUUGAGCUGCUGUUUAUCUGUUCCUAGAGAUGCUAGAAUUCUGGAGAAUUUUAUCUUUUAAAAUCUUUAAAAUAUUGCAUGAUGAGUUCGUGUAUGAUGAGAGUUUAAAUUCCAACCACAGCCAUAUAUACAUGCUUGCUAGACUUUGAGCCACACAUUUACUAUUUACUGCUUAUGAGCAUUGAGUGUGGUCAAGCUGUGUAGACCCUUAGGAGCUUGUCAUGUGGUUAAAUCAAGAUUUCACUUGCACGUUCACUCAUAUAUGCUACUUCUAUUUUGGAAGUACCAUCCACAUAUAUCCAUCCAUUUCCAUCUCCAGAACCACCAAAAAAAAUAUUCUACUCCUAAUCCGGGAGAGAAUAGACAAAAAUAUUUUUGUUUUUCCCUGUGAAAUAAAUGCUCAAGUUAUCUUGUUACUACCACUUGCUAUAAUAUCUCAAGAGAUGAGUGCUCUAAAAAAAAGAGAGAGAUACGAGGAAAUAAAAAGGGGCAAGUGCCCGGAACCUCAAAAGAAAAGAAAAAGUGAAACGAGAGGUAAAAAUGGACAAGUGUCCGACAGUAGAAUUAGGGGUACAAGAUACCCACCUGAGAGAAAAGAAAAAGAAGAGCAUCUCAUUCUCCUCAUAAAGUUUCAAAAAGCAAGGAAGGUAUGUAUCCCCUCAAAAGAGCAAAAGUAGAAUUAGACAUCCACCAUUGUUAUCACCAUCAUCACCAUACACCAUUCAUUCGCCACACAUGCACAUCUUGAUUUGGCUUAAUGAUUUGUUUCUUUGGAUCCAUGGUUUGACUAUACAAUACAUGUCUUGUAAGUAUGUAUACUUUAUCUCCCACCUAUGAGCCCUAGAUAUUAAAGCCUUAUUAGAGUAGGGUGAGAGAGAAGGCAAUGUCACUAUGCUUUAUACCACAAAUACCACAUAUAUUGAGAGAAGGCAUAUAUCAUCACUGCCUUGGUAAGGAUCCAGAAAUACCACAACAGAG
Molecule: long non-coding RNA, 26824 nt
Filed under: Sorghum bicolor (sorghum)
Lineage: Eukaryota; Viridiplantae; Streptophyta; Magnoliopsida; Poales; Poaceae
Description: long non-coding RNA (SBIC_LNC014700)
Source: RNAcentral